Molecule: ribosomal RNA, 466 nt
Filed under: uncultured bacterium
Lineage: Bacteria
Description: partial 16S ribosomal RNA
Rfam family: Bacterial small subunit ribosomal RNA
Source: RNAcentral
GACGAACGCUGGCGGCGCGCCUAACACAUGCAAGUCGAACGAGCGAGAGAGAGCUUGCUUUCUCGAGCGAGUGGCGAACGGGUGAGUAACGCGUGAGGAACCUGCCUCAAAGAGGGGGACAACAGUUGGAAACGACUGCUAAUACCGCAUAAGCCCACGACCCGGCAUCGGGUAGAGGGAAAAGGAGCAAUCCGCUUUGAGAUGGCCUCGCGUCCGAUUAGCUAGUUGGUGAGGUAACGGCCCACCAAGGCGACGAUCGGUAGCCGGACUGAGAGGUUGAACGGCCACAUUGGGACUGAGACACGGACCAGACUCCUACGGGAGGCAGCAGUGGGGAAUAUUGCACAAUGGGGGAAACCCUGAUGCAGCGACGCCGCGUGGAGGAAGAAGGUCUUCGGAUUGUAAACUCCUGUUGUUGAGGAAGAUAAUGACGGUACUCAACAAGGAAGUGACGGCUAACUACGUG